RNAcentral lists this small RNA (2037 nucleotides) under Pan troglodytes (chimpanzee). RNAcentral describes it as "processed transcript". The record is from RNAcentral. Lineage: Eukaryota; Metazoa; Chordata; Mammalia; Primates; Hominidae.
AGGAAAGGAGGCACCAGGACCUUGGCUUGGUCUGUGCCACUCUCACCCACAUCAGAGACGGCUCCCAGCAAUGCUGUAUAUAUUUGGGUCUUGAUAAGGACUCAUGUGAAGACUGCUCUCCUCUCAUCUGUCUUCUGCCCAUAAUCUCCACAGCUGUUCUUGGCAAGGACACUUGGACUAAAGAUUGGGACAGCUUACAUCUUGAUCAACUUGUCUGUUCCUGGCGAGAUCAGUCUGCGGUGAAGGGUUUUCUCAUCGUCGCUCUCUUGAGUGCAGCUGGAGCUGCUCUGGCUAAAGACUCUAAAGAUAAUCAGGAGUUGUCAUAUAAUUUUACCAUUCCUUACAUGGUCUAUCUUCAGUCCUUCCCAGAACCCUGCGUGGGGUCUCUCAUUCACCCUGACUGGGUAUUGACAGCUGCCCACUGCCCCUUACCUGUUGAAAUUCGACUGGGAGUUUCUCAACCUAGCAUCACAAACAAGAAACAACAGAUACGAAACUAUUCAUCGAUUGUGUCCUACCCUGACUUUGAUGCAAAAUCCUUGAACAAUGACCUAAUGAUGAUCAAACUAUCAACACCUGCUUCACUCAACCCCCAUGUGGGGACUAUAGCCAUAGCCUUGGAACCCAUUCCAUUUAAUGAAUCCUGCUUUAUUCCAACCUGGACCUGGAAUGAAUAUAAAAACCAUAUGUGUUGGAUGCUGUGUUCUUUAUGCUGAGGAGGUUGGAGCUGGGAGAAAAUGUAGAGGGAUGUCCCUAAUGGAAAUCGCUGCUAUGAGACAAUGUUGUCCACCAUAGAGGGAUUCCCGCCAGGGACCCAAACCACCAUCACUGGAGGUCAAAGAUAAAAUUCAAAGAGACUGAUAAAGGGCAGCCACUCUGACACCAACAAAUGGAGCAGACAGUAAUUUUCCUAUCUCUAGAAUAUUGAAGACAAGAGUCCAGAGAACUGGAUUGAAAUACAGGUGGGAGAAAUAGGAGUCCUCGUGCACAAAGACAGUAUGAAGGCAGCCUGCGGGAGGGUGACACUCAUUGAUAGUUGCUGAAAGCCCAUCACACAAUGGAAGAACAGUGGGGGAAAUGAACAUAAAAUAUAUGUGAUGCGGUGAAGCAGUAGAGGAUGCUUCCUACACCUUCCACAGAGAACCCAAUUAUGUGCAGAGAACCCUGGGAGAGAAGAGAAUGGUUGAGGGAGUACCUGUCCUGUCACCAGAGCUGGUUCCCUCACAGAGUGCUACUCAUACCCACUGCUUCUUCCUAGAGUUCCCAUUUAGGGGUGGAGACUUGGGUGGUUCGUAGGGAAAUUGAUUAUUAUGACAUAAUCAGUUGUUAUCUCCCCGGUCUGACAUGCCUCACAGGAAAAACAGUGGCAGCCCAUGUUGUAAGCACACACCCAUCUCCCCUGUGAGCUGAAAUUGGGAUGAGCAGAAAGAUCUGGUCUCAGCAGGAGUCUGUCUAAUAAAGAACACCUGUGAAGAAAACUACUUUCUAAUAAGUUUGUUGGUCCUUGUUGGCUGUUACUCCAUUAUUCUCUCUUUAGGUAUUGUUGAGGAUGAGGAUACCACCACUUGAUAUCUGAAAUGAAAUGACAAAUGUAAAUCUAUUGCUUAUUACAGCAAGUCAGAGCAAUGCUGAACAGGCACCAUCCCACUAAGCAGAAUGGAGUGCUGAUUUAGCAUAAGGGGUUUGUGGGAAGCUUGGAGUUGAGGGAUUGGAGGACUUUCAGAGGUAUGAAUGGGUUCCAUCAUCUGUUGAGGCCUGGCUACUUCAGGGGGAUUGCUGUUGAUUGAUUGGUGCUCUGAGACAUGUUUUUCAGAGGACCUCUGAUCCUGAUCAGCUGGUUUUAAGAAGUGAAGGCUGACAUUGAUUAUAUUGCAAAAGUUAUGUUCACUCAAGCAAGUUAUCCUGGAUCUAUUAAUCAGGUUUAAAUCUCUCUCUGGUGGCUACAGAACAAUACACGUGCUCUGUAAAAGCAAAUAAAAGUGGAAUUUUAGAAGUCAGUCUUUGGUAAAAAACAGAAAUAAAAAGCAGAAACUAUUA